Molecule: long non-coding RNA, 1198 nt
Organism: Diospyros lotus (date-plum)
Lineage: Eukaryota; Viridiplantae; Streptophyta; Magnoliopsida; Ericales; Ebenaceae
Exons: 3
Source: RefSeq, a predicted model, not a curated record
GUUGCGCACCUCGGGGUAGUUUCUGAUCGUCGAAAAAAUGGCUGGCGGCCAGCGAACGGCGACGGCCAGAUUCGCCCCUAUUUUCGGCCGAAAAUUAAAUCUCAGAUCUAGUAAGAUCUGACCGUCCGAUGGGUUUCAUUUUAAUAUAUGUUGUUAUUCGUGGCGAGGGCUUCGUAUCGGUAUAUUGGUCGGCCAUUUUUGGCCUGCCGGCGGCGGUCGCCGGCGGUGGCAGUGUGUUGGAAAGAAAAGAAAAGGAAAAAAAAAGAAAGAAAAGAAAAGAAAAAGAAAGAAAAGAAAAGAAAAGAAAAGAAAAGAAAGGAAAAAGAAUAAAAGGAAAUAAAAAUAAAAAAAUAAAUAAAAUAUAAGGAAAAAGGAAAUGAGGGCUUUUGGGGUUGGGCAUGUCGGGUUAGGUUUUAGCCUAGGAUGGCGGGGCCCGAUUGGGUUUUAGGAUGGCCCAAUGUGUUGGGCAUGACUGACCCAGUUGUGGCAGCCCUUGGGCUGGCCCACUCGGCUUGUUCUCCCUUGUCGCUUGUCCGGGAACCUAGGAUGACUUGGUUAGGUUGGUCCUACUCGGGAUAUCGAUGUCAGUUUAAUUUGGGUUCUCUUUAGGUCUCCUAGAAUUGGCGAUAUGAUUGGCGAGUCAUUUUGUUGAUCGGAGUCCUAGGGACGAAGCCCUAUUAGACGACUCGAGGCCGAGUAAGACUGACCCCGAGUGCGUUCUAGGCUAGCCUAUGAUGAUGACGUGGGUUUAUUUCGAAUCCUGAUUUCUGAUGGAUUCCUUUUAUCUGAGGCUAGAAUAUUGCAAUUUAUUCCUUUUAAACCAUUUAUUAAAUUAUUAAUUAAUUAUUAAGUUUUCAAGAAAAUUUAUCAAUUUAGUUAUAAAUAUAUAUAUGUAUGUAUUUUUGAUAAAGGAGGAAUUUAGAUAAAAAAUAUAUUAUCUAUAUUAAAAGAAAACUAGUUUAUGGGUAAAUAUAUAUAUAUAUAUAUUAUGAUAUUGCAGCCUAUAAGUGGGUGUGUAGUUCCACUAUACACUUACGCGUAGCAAGCAAAGCGAGACAUGAUGACGUAGUCGAUGGCUUAGCUCGACGAAUUCCAUGACGCCAGAUUUGAAUAUUGCGCGGGCCAAGGCUCAGAUUCUCAGGAUUUUGUUCGAUCUUCUCCCCAGACUCGGACUUGAGUCAUCAUUUCCCAGGCGAGU